This 26-nucleotide non-coding RNA is filed under the name Macaca fascicularis (crab-eating macaque). Lineage: Eukaryota; Metazoa; Chordata; Mammalia; Primates; Cercopithecidae. The record is from RNAcentral. RNAcentral also lists the same sequence under 1 other name.
UAAAACCAGGGUGGGUAUAAAACUUC